RNAcentral lists this ribosomal RNA (251 nucleotides) under uncultured prokaryote. RNAcentral's name for it is "partial 16S rRNA". It matches the Rfam family "Bacterial small subunit ribosomal RNA", at positions 525 to 775 of the family's 1533-position model. The record is from RNAcentral.
ACAGAGACCUCAAGCGUUAUCCGGAUUUACUGGGUGUAAAGGGUCCGCAGGCGGAUUAGCGGGUCAGAAGUUAAAACUUCGAGCUCAACUCGAAGACUGCUUUUGAAACUACUAAUCUAGAGUUCGGAAGAGGCAAUCGGAAUUGCUGGUGUAGUGGUAAUAAGCGUUGAUAUCAGCAAGAACACCAAAUGCGAAGGCAGAUAGCUAGAACGAACCUGACGCUCAGUGACGAAAGCGUGGGGAGCGAACAG